This 531-nucleotide ribosomal RNA is filed under the name Triticum aestivum (bread wheat). RNAcentral describes it as "partial small subunit ribosomal RNA". The record is from RNAcentral. Lineage: Eukaryota; Viridiplantae; Streptophyta; Magnoliopsida; Poales; Poaceae.
AUGGAACGAAGCUUCCAGGUUGGCGAGGACGUGCUCCUGAAGCUUCAGCCGUACACACAGUCCUCCGUCGUCAAUCGACCCUGCGCCAAGCUGGCCUACAAAUUCUUCGGGCCAUUCAAGGUGGAGGCCAAGAUCGGGACUCCCGCCUACAAAUUGAUCCUGCCGCCGGACAGUCGCAUCCACAACGUCUUCCAUGUCUCCCAACUGAAGCCGUACACGCCCAACUACACCCCUGUCUUCGCCGAGCUGCCCAAGCCACCGGAUCUGUCCAUGGUGGAGACGGGCCCGUGGAUCCUCGACAGACGCAUGGUGAAGCGAGGCAACGCAGCAUUGGUGCAGAUUCAAGUGCGCUGGAACUCCGCUUCGCCCGCAGCAGUGACAUGGGAAGACUACGAGACGCUAAAGCUUCGUUUUCCGGCCGCCGCAAUCUGGCAGGGAUCGGCCGGAGCGCCAGGUGACGCUCCUUCUGAUGGAGGGGGAAAUGUCACACCUGCACCUGCAAGUGCCACGGUGGACCUGAGUAGCCAAUAG